Tulasnella sp. 417 is the source of this 73-nucleotide non-coding RNA. Lineage: Eukaryota; Fungi; Basidiomycota; Agaricomycetes; Cantharellales; Tulasnellaceae. The record is from the annotation of a GenBank genome assembly.
UCGGCGAUGGUGUAGUGGGUGAGCAUAUUGCCCUAUUACGGCAAAGACGGACGUUCAAUUCGUCCUCUCCGGC